GACGAACGCUGGCGGCGUGCUUAACACAUGCAAGUCGAACGAAGAGCGACGGAAGCUUGCUUCUAUCAAUCUUAGUGGCGAACGGGUGAGUAACGCGUAAUCAACCUGCCCUUCAGAGGGGGACAACAGUUGGAAACGACUGCUAAUACCGCAUACGAUCUAACCUCGGCAUCGAGGAUAGAUGAAAGGUGGCCUCUACAUGUAAGCUAUCACUGAAGGAGGGGAUUGCGUCUGAUUAGCUAGUUGGAGGGGUAACGGCCCACCAAGGCGAUGAUCAGUAGCCGGUCUGAGAGGAUGAACGGCCACAUUGGGGCUGAGACACGGCCCAGACUCCUACGGGAGGCAGCAGUGGGGAAUCUUCCGCAAUGGACGAAAGUCUGACGGAGCAACGCCGCGUGAGUGAUGACGGCCUUCGGGUUGUAAAGCUCUGUUAAUCGGGACGAAAGGCCUUCUUGCGAAUAGUGAGAAGGAUUGGCGGUACCGGAAUAGAAAGCCACGGCUAACUACGUG
RNAcentral lists this ribosomal RNA (510 nucleotides) under uncultured bacterium. Its description in RNAcentral is "partial 16S ribosomal RNA". It matches the Rfam family "Bacterial small subunit ribosomal RNA", at positions 28 to 507 of the family's 1533-position model. The record is from RNAcentral.